GUGAUGUAUGGAGCAGUCUGACCAGCCAUGCCGCGUGAAGGAUUAAGGUCCUCUGGAUUGUAAACUUCUUUUAUCUGGGACGAAAAAAGGCGAUUCUUCGUCACUUGACGGUACCAGAUGAAUAAGCACCGGCUAACUCCGUGCCAGCAGCCGCGGUAAUAACGGAGGGUGCAAGCGUUAUCCGGAUUCACUGGGUUUAAAGGGUGCGUAGGAGGGUAGGUAAGUCAGUGGUGAAAUCCUGGAGCUUAACUCAAGAACUGCCAUUGAUACU
RNAcentral lists this ribosomal RNA (271 nucleotides) under uncultured Sediminibacterium sp. Its description in RNAcentral is "partial 16S ribosomal RNA". It matches the Rfam family "Bacterial small subunit ribosomal RNA", at positions 368 to 634 of the family's 1533-position model. Lineage: Bacteria; Pseudomonadati; Bacteroidota; Chitinophagia; Chitinophagales; Chitinophagaceae. The record is from RNAcentral.